GCACCCCACUCCUGCUUUGUUGGAGCCGAUCGCUGCUUGCAUCACCCAGGCCACCCCUCACCUGUGAUCUGCAGGCAAGAUUCCCGGCUGUGGGGUCGGGGAGAUGGCUCGUCCUCUUCGCUCACCUCCUGGAAAGUGGCGGAGCUCCGAGUUUUCUUGACCGCCGGCGGCAGCGUGGCAGGGAGAUGCCUGCCAUCUGCUGGAUAUUCAAAGAUCAUAUUUCAGUUUCCCAUGUACUUCAUUGAUGAAUGAUUUUAACAAACUAAUUUUGCACAAACUUUUAGCUGGUUGCAUUUAUUAAAAAUCUCACAGAUUGUAAAA
Long non-coding RNA from Sphaerodactylus townsendi, 321 nucleotides. RefSeq lists it as uncharacterized. NCBI's taxonomy places the organism in Eukaryota, Metazoa, Chordata, Lepidosauria, Squamata, Sphaerodactylidae. The transcript is spliced from 2 exons. The record is from RefSeq and is a predicted model, not a curated record.